This 496-nucleotide ribosomal RNA is filed under the name uncultured bacterium. Its description in RNAcentral is "partial 16S ribosomal RNA". It matches the Rfam family "Bacterial small subunit ribosomal RNA", at positions 28 to 506 of the family's 1533-position model. The record is from RNAcentral.
GAUGAACGCUGGCGGCGUGCCUAAUACAUGCAAGUCGAGCGAACGGACGAGAAGCUUGCUUCUCUGAUGUUAGCGGCGGACGGGUGAGUAACACGUGGAUAACCUACCUAUAAGACUGGGAUAACUUCGGGAAACCGGAGCUAAUACCGGAUAAUAUUUUGAACCGCAUGGUUCAAAAGUGAAAGACGGUCUUGCUGUCACUUAUAGAUGGAUCCGCGCUGCAUUAGCUAGUUGGUAAGGUAACGGCUUACCAAGGCAACGAUGCAUAGCCGACCUGAGAGGGUGAUCGGCAACACUGGAACGGAGACACGGUCCAGACUCCUACGGGAGGCAGCAGUAGGGAAUCUUCCGCAAUGGGCGAAAGCCUGACGGAGAAACGCCGCGUGAGUGAUGAAGGUCUUCGGAUCGUAAAACUCUGUUAUUAGGGAAGAACAUAGGUGUAAGUAACUGUGAACAUCUUGACGGUACCUAAUAAGAAAGCAACGGCUAACUACGU